This 392-nucleotide long non-coding RNA is filed under the name Ursus maritimus (polar bear). Its description in RNAcentral is "lncRNA (ENSUMAG00000008896.1)". Lineage: Eukaryota; Metazoa; Chordata; Mammalia; Carnivora; Ursidae. The record is from RNAcentral.
UGGAGAUCAGGGCCCACCGCCUGUGAUUCCGGCUUCUCUGUCCUCAGUCCAGGAUCAGGACAAGCUAAGAUCCUUCUGAAUUGAGGGAGGGGAAUGUCACAAAAGCAUCAGAAGAACACUAGCCUCCCAGAGGCCUGAUGGGAUUUCCUGCACCGGGAAGACCUCAAAAGAGAAAGAGCCUCAUUGUUCAGAGCCAGCAGCUCUGGACUGUUCUCCUCAGAACUUCUAAUCGCAGAAUGAGGUCAAUGAAUGCAGCAUUCAUUGGGAUUGGCAGACACUUCAGCAGCCACACGAAAGAGCCAGCAACUGACUCCUGAUUUUGGCUCAGGUCAUGAUCUCAGGGUUGUGGGAUCGAGCCCCACAUGGGGCUCCCAGCUCAGGACAGAGUCUUC